RNAcentral lists this ribosomal RNA (112 nucleotides) under uncultured eukaryote. RNAcentral's name for it is "partial small subunit ribosomal RNA". It matches the Rfam family "Bacterial small subunit ribosomal RNA", at positions 1416 to 1525 of the family's 1533-position model. The record is from RNAcentral.
UUUACCCGAAGGCGUCGCGCUAACUCGCAAGAGAGGCAGGCGACCACGGUGGGCUUAGCGACUGGGGUGAAGUCGUAACAAGGUAGCCGUAGGUGAACCUGCAGAAGGAUCA